RNAcentral lists this long non-coding RNA (720 nucleotides) under Cricetulus griseus (Chinese hamster). Its description in RNAcentral is "lncRNA (ENSCGRG00015037538.1)". The record is from RNAcentral. Lineage: Eukaryota; Metazoa; Chordata; Mammalia; Rodentia; Cricetidae.
GGCAUAACCAUGCACUUCCCUGCACUGGCAACCAUCUCUAACCAGUUCUGUUGGGUUUUGUUAGCUCAGCAGUACUGCUUACCGCAGUGAACAGAAUGCGUCCUGCCACACUGAGAUUCAAGGGUUCUUAUGGGGACAGCUCCUGUUCAGUGAUGCCUAGUAUGCUACCCCUGUCUGCACUCUGGAUCUGCUUGGGGGACAAUCCCUGCCCCCUCCACCCAAGGAACCCAGAGAAACCACAUGGUGACAGUGAACCCUCAGGGCUGCGGAUGGCAUCUCCCAGGUUGGGAAAGAUCCUGCCAUGGAGCUCUCGUAUUUCUGGAUUCCCCUUUAGAAUAUAUUAACAGCUUCUGCCAACCCCACACCUAAGGAUGGCAUCAGGACAACAUCUGCAGCCGAGAGCAGAGACUCCCCUGCUUUUCUGUUACCUACCUCCCUGAUGUUUCCAGCAAGGCAUUUGGAAAAUGCCUUGAUUUAUGACUUUCUUUUGUUCUUCGAGCUUAAAAGUUCGUGUGACUGUUUCUAUGUUGGAACAAGUUAUUCAGAGCAACCCGAAUCUGCAUUCCUGAACCAUGGUCCCUCAUAUUGGCUCAGAUAAACCAUCCUUUUCUCACAGGGGAUGAUGGGAUGGAUGGGGGCACCUUCAUACCCUGCAUACCCUGCUUUAUGAAGACACAUUGGAACUCCACAUUGUAAAAAGAAGGCAGGCAUAAACAGUCC